CAUUCAUCAAGAGUAGCCGAGGGACUGGCCCGAUGACGCUACGGCAACCAUCCUUAGUGAAACGGUGCCAAAUCCAACGGAACAUUCCGGCAGAUGAAAG
Regulatory RNA element from Phascolarctobacterium sp. CAG:266, 100 nucleotides. It matches the Rfam family "SAM riboswitch aptamer (S box leader)". From Rfam's summary of the family: The SAM riboswitch is found upstream of a number of genes which code for proteins involved in methionine or cysteine biosynthesis in Gram-positive bacteria. The SAM riboswitch acts at the level of transcription termination control. The predicted structure consists of a complex stem-loop region followed by a single stem loop terminator region. The record is from Rfam. NCBI's taxonomy places the organism in Bacteria, Bacillati, Bacillota, Negativicutes, Acidaminococcales, Acidaminococcaceae.